This 253-nucleotide ribosomal RNA is filed under the name uncultured bacterium. Its description in RNAcentral is "partial 16S ribosomal RNA". It matches the Rfam family "Bacterial small subunit ribosomal RNA", at positions 524 to 776 of the family's 1533-position model. The record is from RNAcentral.
UACGGAGGGAGCUAGCGUUGUUCGGAAUUACUGGGCGUAAAGGGCGCGUAGGCGGCAAUUCAAGUCAGUUGUGAAAUCUCCGAGCUUAACUCGGAACGGUCAACUGAUACUGCUUUGCUAGAGUACAGAAGGGGCAAUCGGAAUUCUUGGUGUAGCGGUGAAAUGCGUAGAUAUCAAGAGGAACACCUGAGGUGAAGACGGGUUGCUGGGCUGAUACUGACGCUGAGGCGCGAAAGCUAGGGUAGCAAACGGG